GAUGGGAUAGCUCAGUUGGUAGAGCAUGAGACUCUUGAUCUUAGGAUUGUAGGUUCAAGCCCCACACGGGGCAUCAUCAUCA
This is a non-coding RNA of Podarcis lilfordi (Lilford's wall lizard), 82 nucleotides long. NCBI's taxonomy places the organism in Eukaryota, Metazoa, Chordata, Lepidosauria, Squamata, Lacertidae. The record is from the annotation of a GenBank genome assembly.